UAGGGAAUCUUGGACAAUGGGGGAAACCCUGAUCCAGCCAUGCCGCGUGAGUGAUGAAGGCCUUCGGGUUGUAAAACUCUUUCGGCGGGGACGAUAAUGACGGUACCCGCAGAAGAAGCUCCGGCUAACUUCGUGCCAGCAGCCGCGGUAAUACGAAGGGGGCUAGCGUUGUUCGGAAUUACUGGGCGUAAAGCGCGCGCAGGCGGCCUUGCAAGUCAGAGGUGAAAGCCCGGAGCUCAACUCCGGAAUUGCCCCUGAGACUGCUGGGCUUGAGUACGGGAGAGGUGAGUGGAAUUCCGAGUGUAGAGGUGAAAUUCGUAGAUAUUCGGAAGAACACCAGUGGCGAAGGCGGCUCACUGGCCCGUUACUGACGCUCAGGCGCGACAGCGUGGGGAGCAAACAGGAUUAGAUACCCCUGUAGUCC
RNAcentral lists this ribosomal RNA (424 nucleotides) under uncultured bacterium. Its description in RNAcentral is "bacterial SSU rRNA". It matches the Rfam family "Bacterial small subunit ribosomal RNA", at positions 355 to 796 of the family's 1533-position model. The record is from RNAcentral.